UACCUGCAGCUCUAGUGGUGAUCGCUAUUAUUGGGCCUAAAACGUCCGUAGCCGGCUUAUUAAAUGCCUGGGCAAAUCGUGUAGCUUAACUAUACGAAUUCCGGGUAGACUGAUAGGCUUGAGACCGGGAGAAGCUAGAGGUACUCCUGGGGUAGAGGUGAAAUUCUGUAAUCCUAGGGGGACCACCAGUGGCGAAGGCGUCUAGCUAGAACGGGUCUGACGGUGAGGGACGAAGCCCUGGGGCGCAAACCGGAUUAGAUACCCGGGUAGUCCAGGGUGUAAACGCUGCUUGCUUGAUGUUAGUUGGGCUCUGAGCCCAAUUAGUGUCGGAGAGAAGUUGUUAAGCAAGCUGCCUGGGAAGUACGGUCGCAAGACUGAAACUUAAAGGAAUUGGCGGGGAGCACAGCAACGGGUGGAGCGUGCGGUUU
Molecule: ribosomal RNA, 428 nt
Filed under: uncultured archaeon
Lineage: Archaea
Description: bacterial SSU rRNA
Rfam family: Archaeal small subunit ribosomal RNA
Source: RNAcentral